Molecule: ribosomal RNA, 253 nt
Filed under: uncultured bacterium
Lineage: Bacteria
Description: partial 16S ribosomal RNA
Rfam family: Bacterial small subunit ribosomal RNA
Source: RNAcentral
UACGUAGGGUGCAAGCGUUGUCCGGAAUUAUUGGGCGUAAAGAGCUCGUAGGCGGUCUGUCGCGUCGGCUGUGAAAUCCCGGAGCUCAACUCCGGGUCUGCAGUCGAUACGGGCAAACUGGAGUACUGCAGGGGAGACUGGAAUUCCUGGUGUAGCGGUGAAAUGCGCAGAUAUCAGGAGGAACACCGGUGGCGAAGGCGGGUCUCUGGGCCGAUACUGAUGCUGAGGAGCGAAAGCGUGGGGAGCGAACAGG